UCUCUUAGGAGGCAAUUUGCGUAAUAUGUAAAGAACUAAUGCUGAAGGCAGAAUUUCGACCAACAAGUAGUAGAUGAAAUUCAGAAGGGGGUGAUCUAAAACAUCAAGUGAUGCAUCUGCAUCAAAAGCAGAUAAGGCAACCACAAAGCAUCGAAUGAGGAAGCAGGUAAAGCAUAUGGCAGUUACAGAUCCAACCUCAUGAAGUUUCUUCCUCCUCCCUUUAGAUUCAAUUGGAAAACGUCUAAGCAUGAAAAAUAAUCUUCCACCAUAUAUCAAGAAGCCUACUGCAGCUACGAACGACACCACUGCAAUGAAAAUUUUUCCAACGAAUUCCACCACACUGUUGUCAUUGACCCCGAUGUAUACCCAAAUGCAAACCUGUAUGAGAUAUAUCACACUGUUGAUUGAAAUGUAAACCGUCCUCAGUUUAUCUGUUGGCAGACUUCUUGCCUGGUGGUAUAUCUCUGCCCAGAAGAGGACCAGGAGUGUGUAUGUUGAGAAAAAAAGAAGACCAGGAAGUUCCAAUAAUAACAAUAGCAGAACCUUUGUUUGCAAAAGAAACACUUGCUUGUGGAGCCCAAACACAAUUGCACGUACUCCAUUAACAAUGAAGUUCAUGAGAUGGAAAACUUUCUGUGUUGUCCAGCCAUAUUCCGGAACUCUCAGUUCGAUCCUUAUCAAUUGAAUCAAAGCAACGGCGGAGACUAGCGCGUAUACAGCACAUAGAGAGUAGAAUAUCCGAUCCUGCCAAAAAGUAGAUUCGUUGAUAUCAUUCCACCAGCUGGAUGUCGUAACUCCCAUCUCCAUGGCCGUCGUCAUGUUCAACUGCAAUCUCGCCAUUAUUCCCAAAUAGUAAACAAGUUUUCUCACUAUCGCCCUCUCUCUCCGCCGUAGAGUCAGAGAACCAAGAAUCUGAUGAAUUGACACGACCAAGCAAACGCCGGCGAGGAAAGAGGGGAAAG
This 962-nucleotide unclassified non-coding RNA is filed under the name Hevea brasiliensis (rubber tree). The record is from RNAcentral. Lineage: Eukaryota; Viridiplantae; Streptophyta; Magnoliopsida; Malpighiales; Euphorbiaceae.